This 493-nucleotide ribosomal RNA is filed under the name Draco blanfordii. Its description in RNAcentral is "partial 16S ribosomal RNA". It matches the Rfam family "Bacterial large subunit ribosomal RNA", at positions 1817 to 2597 of the family's 2925-position model. The record is from RNAcentral. Lineage: Eukaryota; Metazoa; Chordata; Lepidosauria; Squamata; Agamidae.
AGCCUUUAGCCAAUCAAGUAUUAGAGGUAACGCCUGCCCAGUGAGUCCAUCUUUAACGGCCGCGCUCAAACCGUGCAAAGGUAGCAAAAUCAUUUGUCCUCUAAAUAGGGACCAGCAUGAACGGCAACAUGAGAAAGUGCCUGUCUCUUUAGGCUAGUCAGUGAAACUGAUCUGCCUGUACAAAAGCAGGCAUAAAAAAACAAGACAAAAAGACCCUGUGAAACUUUAAGUGCCUUUCAACAUUAUGACUGGGCACUUUUCGGUUGGGGCAACCAAUGAGAAACAAACCUCAUAAAAUCACAAGGCACACAAGCCUAAUGAACACUAAAGAUCCAGUACUACUGAUCAAAGGACAAAGCUACUCCAGGGAUAACAGCGCCACAUUCUUUAAGAGUCCAUAUCAACAAGAAUACCUACGACCUCGAUGUUGGAUCAGGGCACCCCGAUGGCGCAGAAGCUAUUGAAGGUUCGUUUGUUCAACGAUUAAAGCCCU